UGAGGAAUUUUCCACAAUGGGCGAAAGCCUGAUGGAGCAAUACCGCGUGGAGGAAGAAGGUCUGUGGAUCGUAAACUCCUUUUCUCAGAGAAGAAGUUCUGACGGUAUCUGAGGAAUAAGCACUGGCUAACUAUGUGCCAGCAGCCGCGGUAAUACAUAGAGUGCAAGCGUUAUCCGGAAUAAUUGGGCGUAAAGCGUCUGUAGGUGGUUUAAAAAGUCUAAUGUCAAAUACGAUGGCUCAACCAACGGCAGGCAUUAGAGUACUAUUAAACUAGAGUUUGGUAGAGGUAGAGGGAAUCCCUAGCGUAACAGUGAAAUGUGUAGAUUUUAGGGAGAACACCAGCGGCGAAGGCGCUCUACUGGGCCAAUACUGACACUGAGAGACGAAAGCUAAGGGAGC
This 400-nucleotide ribosomal RNA is filed under the name uncultured bacterium. RNAcentral's name for it is "bacterial SSU rRNA". It matches the Rfam family "Bacterial small subunit ribosomal RNA", at positions 355 to 769 of the family's 1533-position model. The record is from RNAcentral.